CACAGUAUCGUGUCCCAUUUUACAUACUUGCAUCAGCUUUGUGAUUUUUAAGCUUUGAAGAUUUGGGUUUUUAAUGGAAUAAAAUUAAUUUCGCUGGAGUGGUGGGAGGAAGGGGGGUGGGGGGUAUUAUAAUUUGCAUGCGAUCACGUCAGGACACUGGCCAUCUCCAUAUAUCCCAAGAUCUUAUUUAACCUUUAUGUGAGUUGAGUGAGGAUAGCAAAAAGUUUGCAAAAAGGAAUUACAAACCCCAUCGUCAUUCGUGUUGAAAUUCUCAAAUCUUCCAAAUUACUUGUUAUGCACAUCAGCUUCCUGCCUUAGAUAAUUAAUUGGUUCGACCCAUGAAAAACGGCGGAAAUAUGUACGUCGUUAAGGAAUGAAGAUGAAUUUGGCAAUUCCUUAAACAUGUUGUUACAUCUUGUGUCAGGGUUGGAGAUGCCUUCAGAAACCUUCAAACAAAUUGAUGCAUCCGUUACACAAAAUGCUUAUCUCGUCUUAAAACAUUUCAACAUUUGGACGGCUUGGGAACCAAAUUUGAAGGCCAUUUUUAUUUCACUUUUUACAAUUAAUUUGCAUUAAACGUUUUCUAAAUAUCGAUAUGUUACACCCUUCAGAAUUCCGAACAAAUGCCUUGAUUACCAGAAACAUUGAAUGAAAACAAAUCUCCAUCCCGGAAUUAA
This is a long non-coding RNA of Folsomia candida, 677 nucleotides long. RefSeq lists it as uncharacterized. NCBI's taxonomy places the organism in Eukaryota, Metazoa, Arthropoda, Collembola, Entomobryomorpha, Isotomidae. The record is from RefSeq and is a predicted model, not a curated record. The transcript is spliced from 4 exons.